This is a long non-coding RNA of Rhinopithecus roxellana (golden snub-nosed monkey), 1129 nucleotides long. RefSeq lists it as uncharacterized. The record is from RefSeq and is a predicted model, not a curated record. The transcript has 3 exons. NCBI's taxonomy places the organism in Eukaryota, Metazoa, Chordata, Mammalia, Primates, Cercopithecidae.
GAGGAAGGGAAAGAGGGAGAUGUGGAGACUUUACCCCUGCUAGAGGAAGAGGAAGGAGACGUAGGAGGAAGCGGCCGCGUCAGGGGGCUCCUGGAAAAUGGAAAAGCCUGCGUCCACUAUUAAGGCGUCAAAUUAAGGCACUGAGCCUGAGUGGAAGAGAUCCAGCCAUGAAAUCCCCUUCCAAGAUUUUCCUCGUGAGCCCCGCCCUGGAUUCCCAGCAAGACUCAAAACUUACAAGGUGUCAGAGCUGGCAAAGACCAACUUCCAACCCGUCCGCUUGGCACGUGAGGAGACUGAAGCUCUCGGAAGAGAAAUGACUUGUACAGGGUCGUCACUCAACAGAUCGAGGAGCAGGCCCAGGCGCUCUGCCUCCCACUUGGGUUGCCGCCUCCAGGAAGGGCCCUGGCUUCCUUUUAGCCCUGAGCCUUGAAGCAGGUUAGAUGUCCACAGGCUGCGCGGACCACCCAGUGAUUUCUACUGCUCUUGGCCCAGAGCCAGUUCCUGGAAGGUCCUGGUUGACAGUGAGCCCUGAAUAUCAAUGACAAUCAGUUGCUCCAGGGCAACUUCCUCUGUCCUGUGCUCAAAUAUAUGAAUCCCUGGAGUUUAACGUUUACUUCUGAGCCCCGCCCAGAAAGUUUGCUCUGUGCUUAUAGCUUCAAAAAAGUCUGCGAACGGGAUGAACUGGUUUGAAUACAGACAAGCCUGUUAUUGGAAAGUUUGAGUUGGAUUUUUUUUCCCCCUCUGACAUCUGUAAGGGUGAACGACGAUGAGAACCACCACUUACUGUGCUAGGGGAUUAUGACGUGCAGCAGCCAUUGCCUGGAAAGCACUCCAUGCCCUGGGACGUCCUUUCCUUGUACUUCUCUCCUAUUAAUAUCUAAAAUAAUCCCUCACGUUAGCAUAUAAUGAAAGCAGUCUCUCACCCGGCUAUUGCAUCUUCAGAUCACAGGAUCGGAUUGUCUGAAUGUAUUUUGGUGCAUCCCAACUCAGCCACCUGUACCAAUCUAACGGCUUUUGACCUCAGAACAAGGGAAAAGAGAACAUCAUCCUGGAGCUACAAAGGGAUAACAACCUUCUAGAAAAGAUUUGCUGGAGGAACCAGAAGAAAAUAAUAAAGAAUGUUUUGGCG